GAGUUUGAUCCUGGCUCAGAUUGAACGCUGGCGGCAGGCCUAACACAUGCAAGUCGAGCGGUAGAGAGAAGCUUGCUUCUCUUGAGAGCGGCGGACGGGUGAGUAAAGCCUAGGAAUCUGCCUGGUAGUGGGGGAUAACGUUCGGAAACGGACGCUAAUACCGCAUACGUCCUACGGGAGAAAGCAGGGGACCUUCGGGCCUUGCGCUAUCAGAUGAGCCUAGGUCGGAUUAGCUAGUUGGUGAGGUAAUGGCUCACCAAGGCGACGAUCCGUAACUGGUCUGAGAGGAUGAUCAGUCACACUGGAACUGAGACACGGUCCAGACUCCUACGGGAGGCAGCAGUGGGGAAUAUUGGACAAUGGGCGAAAGCCUGAUCCAGCCAUGCCGCGUGUGUGAAGAAGGUCUUCGGAUUGUAAAGCACUUUAAGUUGGGAGGAAGGGCAUUAACCUAAUACGUUAGUGUUUUGACGUUACCGACAGAAUAAGCACCGGCUAACUCUGUGCCAGCAGCCGCGGUAAUACAGAGGGUGCAAGCGUUAAUCGGAAUUACUGGGCGUAAAGCGCGCGUAGGUGGUUUGUUAAGUUGGAUGUGAAAUCCCC
This 600-nucleotide ribosomal RNA is filed under the name uncultured Pseudomonas sp. RNAcentral describes it as "bacterial SSU rRNA". It matches the Rfam family "Bacterial small subunit ribosomal RNA", at positions 9 to 604 of the family's 1533-position model. Lineage: Bacteria; Pseudomonadati; Pseudomonadota; Gammaproteobacteria; Pseudomonadales; Pseudomonadaceae. The record is from RNAcentral.